RNAcentral lists this ribosomal RNA (253 nucleotides) under uncultured bacterium. RNAcentral's name for it is "partial 16S ribosomal RNA". It matches the Rfam family "Bacterial small subunit ribosomal RNA", at positions 524 to 776 of the family's 1533-position model. The record is from RNAcentral.
UACGAAGGGGGCAAGCGUUGUUCGGAAUUACUGGGCGUAAAGGGCGCGUAGGCGGCCUGUUAAGUCGAACGUGAAAUCCCCGGGCUCAACCCGGGAACUGCGUCCGAUACUGGCAGGCUUGAAUCCGGGAGAGGGAUGCGGAAUUCCAGGUGUAGCGGUGAAAUGCGUAGAUAUCUGGAGGAACACCGGUGGCGAAGGCGGCAUCCUGGACCGGCAUUGACGCUGAGGCGCGAAAGCUAGGGGAGCGAACGGG